CGGACGGGUGAGUAACGCGUGGAAAACCUGCCGUAUACUGGGGGAUAACACUUAGAAAUAGGUGCUAAUACCGCAUAAGCGCACAGCUUCGCAUGAAGCGGCGUGAAAAACUCUGGUGGUAUACGAUGGUUCCGCGUCUGAUUAGCUAGUUGGUGGGGUAAUGGCCUACCAAGGCAACGAUCAGUAGCCGGCCUGAGAGGGUGAACCGGCCACAUUGGGACUGAGACACGGCCCAAACUCCUACGGAAGGCAGCAG
RNAcentral lists this ribosomal RNA (256 nucleotides) under uncultured bacterium. Its description in RNAcentral is "partial 16S ribosomal RNA". It matches the Rfam family "Bacterial small subunit ribosomal RNA", at positions 99 to 354 of the family's 1533-position model. The record is from RNAcentral.